AAAUGACGGGUGAAAAUGUGACAUAAAAAUAUGACAGAUAGGAUCGGCGGUGUUCUGUAAAUUACAAAGCAUGUAAUUACUCUCUUGUUAAGUAUAAUACGUUUUAUUCAAAGAAGAAUCACGUCGAUCGCAUUUGACGAAUUCUAAUAAAAGUACCUAAGAAUAUUUAAUGUUUUCAACAAUGGUACCUAAUUGGGAUGAUACAAAACGGUUAGAGUCGCUACGUUUCUUAACAUCGGAGUUGUGGCGUUAUUCGUUUGAGGAGCGUUUCUAUGUGACCGUCCAGAUGGCUAUGUAUAGGUUUCGGUGCGUUCAAUACGAGUUGAAUAAAGAGGCGGACCUACAUUGGAGCGAACACGAGUUUCGCAACUAAUUAUAAUUAAUUCACUCGAAGGUUUUAUGAAGGCAAUAGUGUCGUUAAUAUGUAAACUGCCCACGAAUUAUUUACGUCUGUUAAUAAGUUUUGAGACGUGUGGGUGUAGAGCUCUGAGCUAUCAUUAAGUAUUUAAAUGAAGCCUGUUUUGAUUGUUACAGAAUUUAAGCGUUCUUUGUUUUGUUGAAAAUUAAUAAAUUGACAAACGAUUUUUUAUAUUCGGCUACCUGUUUUUUGAUUGAAAUUUAUUGAAGGAAAAUUAAUUUUAUUUCGAUCGGUUGUUCUUUCUAUUCAUUUUAAUAUAGAUUUAUGAAAGAACUAUAAGUUUCGCUCAGGUUUUAAACGUUAGUUUUUAUAACAACAAAUGUUUUAACAAAAUCUAACUUACCUAUAGCCUCCAUUAUGCCAUGCUCUAGAAUCUAGAAGAAUCUAAAUAAGUACACAAAUACAUAAACAAGAGAUAUUAAACCGUUGUUUUGAAUAAAUCAAGUGUAAAUA
Molecule: long non-coding RNA, 871 nt
Organism: Bombyx mori (domestic silkworm)
Lineage: Eukaryota; Metazoa; Arthropoda; Insecta; Lepidoptera; Bombycidae
Exons: 3
Source: RefSeq, a predicted model, not a curated record